GACAGAGGGUGCAAGCGUUGUUCGGAAUUACUGGGCGUAAAGCGCGUGUAGGCGGCAGGGCAUGUCGGAUGUGAAAUCCCGUGGCUCAACCACGGAAGUGCACCCGAAACUGCCCAGCUUGAGUCUCGGAGAGGAAGGCGGAAUGCUUGGUGUAGAGGUGAAAUUCGUAGAUAUCAAGCGGAACACCGGUGGCGAAGGCGGCCUUCUGGACGAUGACUGACGCUGAGACGCGAAAGCGUGGGGAGCAAACAGG
This 253-nucleotide ribosomal RNA is filed under the name uncultured bacterium. Its description in RNAcentral is "partial 16S ribosomal RNA". It matches the Rfam family "Bacterial small subunit ribosomal RNA", at positions 524 to 776 of the family's 1533-position model. The record is from RNAcentral.